AUGCAGUGCAAAAGCGAAAGAACAUAACUGGUUCAUCUAACAAGUUCCCGAGUAGAGAGUAGUUAUAUGACGUGUAUCCCUAAUUAACGCCAGAAAUCAUAGCAGCACACGUAGUCCAACAAGACAUCAAAACAGUCGUAAAAGCAAGAACAACAAUGUUUAGCUGGUUUAUCUUCAACUGGGGGAUCACUUCUGCCGGGGAUGUCCAUGGUCUCUACCUCUGGUGGAUCCAUCUCUAUUGUCUCUCUCUCACAGACACACAAGAUGAAUUGGAUUAUUGAAAGGAGAUGGA
Molecule: unclassified non-coding RNA, 292 nt
Filed under: Hevea brasiliensis (rubber tree)
Lineage: Eukaryota; Viridiplantae; Streptophyta; Magnoliopsida; Malpighiales; Euphorbiaceae
Source: RNAcentral